UUUAAUUUUGUAUUACUGAUAAGUGUUGCUCGCAUGGCUAAUAUGACCACGCGUACCUACAAUUAUACCAUAUAUCAUCUUUUAAAUCGGUUAUUGUAUACAAUGACAAACAUUAAAACAUACAGCAUUGGAACUUAAAUACAUUAUUGUUCUAUUCAAUUCCGCGUACUUGCAAUACUUUACUCGGCAUGAACACAUACGAGCCACCUGUACGCAUUUUGUGUAAAUGAUAUUAGUAACACUACUUCGAUACAUUCGAUAUAGGUUCAUGAAUAUUUUUCAUUCCUUCAACUACGUGUCGACAGUUUGUCGUGCAAAUUGCAGUAGGACAUAGUUAAGUCUAAGAAUAUGUUAUAGUAGGAAUCCGUAUCUUUUUGUUUUAAUGAACUAACUUUAACUUUUACACGAGAUUCAACACAUCAAUACCCAAACUAGGUGUUUAUUUCUUAAAUUACACAUUAAAGUUUUGGUAUUUCUCAGUUAUCAUUAAUCUGAAUGAAGAUUCCUCAUUUGCCUAUUCAUGUACAGAUAAUAAUACUUUGAAAAAACGCAGUAACAAACUGCAGUCAUUUAAUACAGAUCAUCCAAACAUGAAUUUUUUGCAAUAUGCAUGAUAUAUAUAUAAGACAUGCAUGUGUUCUAAUUAUAAUAGAUAUUUAUCUCAUUAAUUUACAGAUUGAACAAAAGUGCUAUAUUCUAAUUGUCAAACCAAACAGAAAUUUUAGAUCGAUAGGGUGAUUUAGUAUACUGUAUAAAUAUUGAUAAUGUUUGCCGACAUCAAUCUAUCGAAACAGUGUCAAAACGUUGUCAAAAUACAUGGUCUUAGAGAAAUAACGUUUGUACUUAUACAAUGAUUGCAUUGACAAAUAAUUGUGUGAUGUACAAUAUUACAUUUCCUGGUUUAUUUACGAGAUUUUAACAUCGAUAAACUACUGUCGCUUCAAAUCAUCAUACAAUGGUUACAAUUUCUACUUUUUCCGAGGAUUUCCUACCAGCUAGCUCAUGUGCAUACCAUAUACAAGAAGAAGAACAUAUACAUUUAUUCUCACGUCGUCAAAGAUAAUAUGGUGGCAGUUGGAUUUUGUCAAUUACACAUCAACCGGAAAUAAAUAGAUGACCAGGGCUCAUU
Mytilus californianus (California mussel) is the source of this 1129-nucleotide long non-coding RNA. RefSeq lists it as uncharacterized. The record is from RefSeq and is a predicted model, not a curated record. NCBI's taxonomy places the organism in Eukaryota, Metazoa, Mollusca, Bivalvia, Mytilida, Mytilidae. The transcript has 3 exons.